This is a long non-coding RNA of Gorilla gorilla gorilla (western lowland gorilla), 281 nucleotides long. RefSeq lists it as uncharacterized. The record is from RefSeq and is a predicted model, not a curated record. The transcript is spliced from 3 exons. Lineage: Eukaryota; Metazoa; Chordata; Mammalia; Primates; Hominidae.
GUACAGUCAUCAUUGAUCUUGCAGACACAUUCUUUGUAGCUCUUACCAAAGAGCUGCAUGCCGACCACAGCAAAAAUGAAGACGAUGAUGGCCAACACCAAGUGGUGGUGCCCUGCAAACCAAAUACUGAUGGCUCAAACCACUCUUCCCAAUAAGUAAUACAACACCACAUAGCAUUUCUUUGGCAAAUCAUGCUACAUGCAAUUUUUCCAGUGCUGUGCAUCUUCCCAUUUGCUGGAAGCCCUGGCACCAUCCUGGAUGACAUACUGGCCUGACUAACG